RNAcentral lists this transfer RNA (73 nucleotides) under Dictyocaulus viviparus (bovine lungworm). It matches the Rfam family "tRNA". From Rfam's summary of the family: Transfer RNA (tRNA) molecules are approximately 80 nucleotides in length. Their secondary structure includes four short double-helical elements and three loops (D, anti-codon, and T loops). Further hydrogen bonds mediate the characteristic L-shaped molecular structure. tRNAs have two regions of fundamental functional importance: the anti-codon, which is responsible for specific mRNA codon recognition, and the 3' end, to which the tRNAs corresponding amino acid is attached (by aminoacyl-tRNA synthetases). tRNAs cope with the degeneracy of the genetic code in two manners: having more than one tRNA (with a specific anti-codon) for a particular amino acid; and 'wobble' base-pairing, i.e. permitting non-standard base-pairing at the 3rd anti-codon position. Lineage: Eukaryota; Metazoa; Nematoda; Chromadorea; Rhabditida; Metastrongylidae. The record is from Rfam by way of RNAcentral.
GCCUCGGUAGUGUAAUGGAUCAGCACGACAGACCGGAUAUCUGUAGGUGCGGAUUCAAGUACCGUCGGAGGUC